Molecule: ribosomal RNA, 489 nt
Filed under: uncultured bacterium
Lineage: Bacteria
Description: partial 16S ribosomal RNA
Rfam family: Bacterial small subunit ribosomal RNA
Source: RNAcentral
AUUGAACGCUGGCGGCAGGCCUAACACAUGCAAGUCGAACGGUAACAGGAAGAAGCUUGCUUCUUUGCUGACGAGUGGCGGACGGGUGAGUAAUGUCUGGGAAACUGCCUGAUGGAGGGGGAUACUACUGGAAACGGUAGCUAAUACCGCAUAACGUCGCAAGACCAAAGAGGGGGACCUUCGGGCCUCUUGCCAUCGGAUGUGCCCAGAUGGGAUUAGCUAGUAGGUGGGGUAACGGCUCACCUAGGCGACGAUCCCUAGCUGGUCUGAGAGGAUGACCAGCCACACUGGAACUGAGACACGGUCCAGACUCCUACGGGAGGCAGCAGUGGGGAAUAUUGCACAAUGGGCGCAAGCCUGAUGCAGCCAUGCCGCGUGUAUGAAGAAGGCCUUCGGGUUGUAAAGUACUUUCAGCGGGGAGGAAGGGAGUAAAGUUAAUACCUUUGCUCAUUGACGUUACCCGCAGAAGAAGCACCGGCUAACUCCGUG